AAGAAGGCCCAGCCAUCAGGCAGCAUUCUUCAAACAGAUACUCAGAGACUCCUUGUAUUUGGAUGUUAGUGUGAGCAUGAGGAAUGCUUCAGAGAUGGUCAGCAGCCACUCUGGUCUCCCAUUUGCAUAGUUCAGUCACGAUGUGGGAUCCAGAAUGGUAGAUCUGGAAGCAGAGUUUGAAAACCCAUACUCUCUGUUUCAGUUCAUCUCCCUGUCAGUAUCUUUGCGCCAGAGUAGAUAAUACAAGAGAGGCUAAGACAGAAUGAAAGAAACCCAUUGAUUGAGAGGAAACGGUGACCUUCAUUCAUCCUAAGAAAUGUAGCUUCUUUAGCAAAACUCAUAUUUUGUGUUUGAAAUCUCUUAUCUACGUCAGCAGCAUCUACUCAGUCAUCUGAAAUCCAUCAAACACUUCUAAAGCCAUCUUCCUUUAAACAUAGGUAAGUGAGUUUGGUUCCACUGGCUUCAGCUGAAGAAAGGAUACUUAUUAAUUCUGCUUCUCCACUUGAGAAUGAUUAAUUAUUGAUUCCUAAAAUCUGUUGCAUAUUCGUCUCACCUGCGAGGCUUUUAGCACUCCUGAGGCCCAGGUAAUUCCCCAAACCAAUUAAACCAUGUUGUCUGGGAAUAGCACCCAGGCAUCAGUAGUUCUUUUAAAGCUUCCAGGUGAUUUAGUGAGCAGUGUUUUAACAAGCAAGUUUGAGAACCAGUGAUUGACGGAUCAUUUCUAGGAAGUCCUAUCAAAAUAGUCAUCUCCUCUGUUUUGUUGAGGAAUUGGAUCAGUCAAGACCCAUCUAGAAAUUGGAAACCAUUCUAGUCCUCUCAAAUUAAAAAGUGAUUACACAGUUGUUGGAAGACCUGGAGAACAAAAAGAGGACUCAAGAAACUGAAGAAUUAGUAAUUACAGGAAGCAGCUACGGCUUCUGAGUCUAGGGAAAAAAAGGAAGAGGUGGGGUUAUAAGAACCUAAUAGCUGAGACGAAGGGGCCUAACAGAGGUGGUGCUCAGACCUCUGUAGAGGGGGCAUUUCUCAAUGCUUCUGUUAGCUGUGGGGGACACAGUCAGGGUGGCUCUGAAAAUGACAAAAAAUAGGAAUUUGGAGAUUAAAGCUCACUGCUCUUCCAGAGCAGCACUGAUGGGGACAGCAGAAACAGGAAGUAAAUACCUGCUCCACUACUCCCACUUGCCAAAGCUUUCUUUAAUGCCCGCUGUCUGACCUAACUUGAAGCCAGCUCACAAUGAAAUGAAUACCAACGAUAGAAUCAGAACAGAGAAUAGAGGGUUUAAUCUACUGCCGAGAAACAAUAGAUAAAUAAUCUUCGCUGAAAAAAGCAACCUUUUUU
RNAcentral lists this long non-coding RNA (1336 nucleotides) under Equus caballus (horse). RNAcentral's name for it is "lncRNA (ENSECAG00000054236.1)". Lineage: Eukaryota; Metazoa; Chordata; Mammalia; Perissodactyla; Equidae. The record is from RNAcentral.